This 481-nucleotide ribosomal RNA is filed under the name uncultured bacterium. RNAcentral's name for it is "partial 16S ribosomal RNA". It matches the Rfam family "Bacterial small subunit ribosomal RNA", at positions 28 to 507 of the family's 1533-position model. The record is from RNAcentral.
GAUGAACGCUGGCGGCGUGCUUAACACAUGCAAGUCGAACGAAACACCUUAUUUGAUUUUCUUCGGAACUGAAGAUUUGGUGAUUGAGUGGCGGACGGGUGAGUAACGCGUGGGUAACCUGCCCUGUACAGGGGGAUAACAGUCAGAAAUGACUGCUAAUACCGCAUAAGACCACAGCACCGCAUGGUGCAGGGGUAAAAACUCCGGUGGUACAGGAUGGACCCGCGUCUGAUUAGCGGGUUGGUGAGGUAACGGCGCACCAAGGCGACGAUCAGUAGCCGGCUUGAGAGAGAGAACGGCGACAUUGGGACUGAGACACGGCCCAAACUCCUACGGGAGGCAGCAGUGGGGAAUAUUGCACAAUGGGGGAAACCCUGAUGCAGCGACGCCGCGUGAGUGAAGAAGUAUUUCGGUAUGUAAAGCUCUAUCAGCAGGGAAGAAAAUGACGGUACCUGACUAAGAAGCCCCGGCUAACUACGUG